GCAGUCGGGCUUGGGCCUGGGGGGAAAAAGGGCGGAGGGGUCUCACACCCUUGUCUCUCACAGCUCACUUCGCUCUCAGACCGAAGCCCCAACCAGUCGCUGCGUUUGUGUUCCAUACUUCCAUUCUUCUUGCUCCGGCGGCCACCAGCUCGCUGUGCAAACCCGGCUAAUUCAUAUCUAUUUGUUUUUCACUGGCACGAUGGUUGUCGCCGUGUGACCUGGAGGUCACAGGUUCGAGGCGUGGAAACGGCUUUUUGCAAAAAUGUAAGGAAGGUGGUGGUGAAGCUGUCUUAAGAAGGCUACAAGAAUGCGUAGAUUCCCAUUUUGAGGACCCCUUUCAAGGAUCCCUUUCACAAUUUUCAUCUGCUAAUUGGUGGAAGCGUUUUGGGACAAAGACCCUUGAAUUGAUGAACUUUGCUAUUCGUGUUCUUAGCCUGACAUGUAGUGUUAGUGGAUGUGAGAGGAAUUGGAGCACAUUUGAGCAGAUUCAUACGAAAAAGAGGAAUUGAUUAGAGCACAAGAGAUUGAAUGCUCUAGUUUUCGUCAAGUACAACACCAAAUUGAGGAAGAGAGCUAUAAGAAGAAGACAAAAUUAUGAUCCAAUAUUGGUGCUAGAAGUAGCUUCAGAUGAUGAAUGGAUCACAGAGAAGGAAGAACCUAGCCUCCCAAAAGAUACUUCUUCGGUUGAUGAUGAAAAUGUCCUAGAUGUUGAUGCUAUUAGAGCUUUGCCCAUGGUACCUCUUGAAGGAGAUGAUGCUAAAGCAACACAAGCUUCUGGUAGCUCGCAUUCUAAUCUUCCUAGAAAAAGGAAGAUUAGUGAUUAUUGCACUCAAGACAAAGGCAAGAGGCUAACAUUGGAAACAAUUGAGGAAGACAAUGAUGUUGAAGUGGGAGAGGAAUUUAUUAGUGGAAGAGCUCCUAUUAUAGAUGAUUAUGAUGAAGAUGAGGAUGUUGAUGAAGAUCUUGAUAGUUCCCACUGAACUUUGUUGAUUAAGAUUUACUAGAAUCUUAGAAAUUAGAAUCUUGGAUGAUGAGACAUUGUGAUGUUGUAAUUUGGUUUUUUCUCUUCUUUUUGAAAAUUUAUGGCUUAUUUUUAACAUGCAUUGUUUGAGUUAGCUAAAAUUGGCUUAUAUGGUACUUAAGAAUUAUGUUUUUAUUUUUUUCUCCAUUAUUCUAA
RNA transcript from Malania oleifera, 1177 nucleotides. RefSeq lists it as uncharacterized. NCBI's taxonomy places the organism in Eukaryota, Viridiplantae, Streptophyta, Magnoliopsida, Santalales, Ximeniaceae. The transcript is spliced from 6 exons. The record is from RefSeq and is a predicted model, not a curated record.